AUCCAACUGAAGAGUCACAAAUAGGUCGAAACGCACGUCAAACUGGAU
Non-coding RNA from Schistosoma mansoni, 48 nucleotides. Lineage: Eukaryota; Metazoa; Platyhelminthes; Trematoda; Strigeidida; Schistosomatidae. The record is from Rfam.